This is a long non-coding RNA of Aedes albopictus (Asian tiger mosquito), 1665 nucleotides long. RefSeq lists it as uncharacterized. The transcript has 3 exons. NCBI's taxonomy places the organism in Eukaryota, Metazoa, Arthropoda, Insecta, Diptera, Culicidae. The record is from RefSeq and is a predicted model, not a curated record.
CGCAAUUUUCUGACAGUUUCAUCUCCGAAAGUCAGCGUCGCGACGUCGCACCAAAACUUGUUUUGUUUACGUAUUUUGUUGGCUUCACGCGGUUCACGGUCCGGUGAAGAACGAUUUUUUUGUUGAUUCGGAAGUGAAUUCCGUCGGGAUUCCGAUUCUUACGAUCUAAAUCCAUCGGAAAAUUCGAUAGUUCGCACGACGAGUGUGGUGCGGCAAUGCGAAUUACGACGUCGCCGGGAGAGCAGCAGCGCGAAUAAAAUAUUAAGUGUUUCCUGCUGGGGCAAUUUGUUUUCCACCGGUGCUGCAGUUGCAAGAAUGGCAGCAGCGGCGAACGAGCUACUUGUGAGCGGGUCGAGCGGUUGCAAUGAAGCAUUAAAAUCUGUGCAUUGUGCAUUUAAUAUCUGGCCAUUGUGCGGGGUAAUCACUGGAGGACAAUUAUUGUGCAGGGGUAUGCCGUGAGUCCGCCGACGGAAACGGUCAUAAGGGAAAAAAAACUAGAUACGCUGUCAAUGAUCGAACCGGAAUGUAAAAUUGUCAAUAGGCAAAGAAAGCUCGAUUUUGAGAGCUAUGGAAGUGCUCAUACAUAAUAUAACAUUAAACUGGAACAAACGCUUUACCUCAGUGGGUGCGUUACACCCAGCCAAAAGACAUGUGAAAUUGGGCCCUGGAAAUCCAAAUCCGCCGAUAUGAUCAUAUGUCGCCUGAGGUAUCAGGUUAUAACCGAAUUUUCUCUGUUAUCUACUCGAUCUAUUUGAACGUCAAACAUGCCAAGCAACCACAUCUACAACUGCACAGGCCCAUCGCUGGUUACGCACAAUAUUCCCGACAGAGCGUAUCCAUCCGAAUUUCAGGCUGCUGGAGUCCUACCUAAAGACGGACUAUAUCCUACCGGAGGUCUACCAGGUAGCCGUGCCAGAUUUUUCUGCUGGGGUAAUGAAGAACUACGGAUUGGUGACCUACAAGGAGGAGCGACUGCAGAAAAACUUCGUCAUCGCUAUCCAGCAAGCACUGAAAAAUGCCACGGUAAUCACCGUUCCUCCAUCCAUCCAUUAGAUGUUCUCAAAUCGUGCACCGAUAAAAGUGGAUACCCAGUCGUAACUGAAUCCACGGGAAUAGAUCUGAUCGCUUCCAGCAAAGCUACAUGCUCAAGAUCACGAAUACCACCUAUGCUUUAUGUACAAUUCCCGACAAGUUCGCCAUAACUAGGAAUUCUAACUUCAACACAACCGCCGACACCAGAUGGCUUCUCACCAACAGCACAAUCCGGCAGCCAAAGGAUACUUUGCAAUUGAUUGGAUCAUUGCAGUUAUGCAAACUGGUCAUGAACUAGCAUGAAGCGUUGGAUUUCGUCUUGAAAUUAAUUUUGGAAGAAUAUGUAUUUCAGUUUUCCUACCGAAACGCCCCGAGCCGGUGGAGAUGUGCAUCGAUUUUGCCGCUACGUAACAAUUCCUGACAACUAUGGAUUUAUUGAUAAGUCCGGGACCAAAUCAACCGCCAGUCAAACGACGAUUCUUGAAGGAACUAAUUCGACGGAACACGAAGCUCAUUACCAUCAGAUCCAGAAUACGCUAGACCAUCAAUUAUUGUUACAAUAAUUAUGCUUGUUUACUAGUUUUAGAAUAUUCAAUAAAUUCAAUGGGGCGCUGGGGUCGGUGGGUGGUUUUA